Molecule: ribosomal RNA, 772 nt
Filed under: Phoreiobothrium sp.
Lineage: Eukaryota; Metazoa; Platyhelminthes; Cestoda; Tetraphyllidea; Onchobothriidae
Description: SSU rRNA
Rfam family: Eukaryotic small subunit ribosomal RNA
Source: RNAcentral
GGAAUUGACGGAAGGGCACCNCNAGAAGUGAANCUGCGGCUUAAUUUGACUCAACACGGAAAAACUCACCCGGCCCGGACACUAUGAGGAUUGACAGAUUGAUAGCUCUUUCUUGAUUUGGUGGUUGGUGGUGCAUGGCCGUUCUUAGUUGGUGGAGCGAUUUGUCUGGUUAAUUCCGAUAACGAACGAGACUCCAGCCUGCUAAUUAGUGCACUCGUCCACUGUGCCUGUGAUGNCGGCGUUUGGCGAGGCUGCCCCUAUUCGCCGAAUCGGUGUGGCUUGCCCUUACGGGUAGGCUGCUAAGAGGAGGUUGGGACGGCUGGUUCAGCGUUAGCUUCCGGGUACGGCGCGGGUGUUUACUUCUUAGAGGGACAAGCGGGAGAAGCCGCACGAAAUUGAGCAAUAACAGGUCUGUGAUGCCCUUAGAUGUCCGGGGCCGCACGCGCGCUACAAUGACGGUGGCAACGAGUCUGACCUUCUGGCCCGAAAGGGUUGGGCAAACUGGUCAAUCACCGUCAUGACAGGGAUCGGGGCUUGGAAUUGUUCCCCGUGAACGAGGAAUUCCUAGUAAGUGCAAGUCAUAAGCUUGCGCUGAUUACGUCCCUGCCCUUUGUACACACCGCCCGUCGCUACUACCGAUUGAAUGGUUUAGUAAGGUCCUUGGAUUGGCGCCAUUGUGGUGGUGGCCGAAAGGUUAUUACCCGACCGGUGCUGAGAAGACGACCAAACUUGAUCAUUUAGAGGAAGUAAAAGUCGUAACAAGGGGUUUUCG